CUAAUACCGGAUAAUAUUUUGAACCGCAUGGUUCAAAAGUGAAAGACGGUCUUGCUGUCACUUAUAGAUGGAUCCGCGCUGCAUUAGCUAGUUGGUAAGGUAACGGCUUACCAAGGCAACGAUGCAUAGCCGACCUGAGAGGGUGAUCGGCCACACUGGAACUGAGACACGGUCCAGACUCCUACGGGAGGCAGCAGUAGGGAAUCUUCCGCAAUGGGCGAAAGCCUGACGGAGCAACGCCGCGUGAGUGAUGAAGGUCUUCGGAUCGUAAAACUCUGUUAUUAGGGAAGAACAUAUGUGUAAGUAACUGUGCACAUCUUGACGGUACCUAAUCAGAAAGCCACGGCUAACUACGUGCCAGCAGCCGCGGUAAUACGUAGGUGGCAAGCGUUAUCCGGAAUUAUUGGGCGUAAAGCGCGCGUAGGCGGUUUUUUAAGUCUGAUGUGAAAGCCCACGGCUCAACCGUGGAGGGUCAUUGGAAACUGGAAAACUUGAGUGCAGAAGAGGAAAGUGGAAUUCCAUGUGUAGCGGUGAAAUGCGCAGAGAUAUGGAGGAACACCAGUGGCGAAGGCGACUUUCUGGUCUGUAA
RNAcentral lists this ribosomal RNA (589 nucleotides) under Staphylococcus aureus. RNAcentral's name for it is "bacterial SSU rRNA". It matches the Rfam family "Bacterial small subunit ribosomal RNA", at positions 163 to 739 of the family's 1533-position model. The record is from RNAcentral. Lineage: Bacteria; Bacillati; Bacillota; Bacilli; Caryophanales; Staphylococcaceae.